Molecule: long non-coding RNA, 303 nt
Organism: Cebus imitator (Panamanian white-faced capuchin)
Lineage: Eukaryota; Metazoa; Chordata; Mammalia; Primates; Cebidae
Exons: 2
Source: RefSeq, a predicted model, not a curated record
UGAGAAUCAAACAGUCCUUUUGCUAAGGAAGAAAAUAAGCUGGAAAGAACGCUCUCAUAUUCUCUUCUUGAAGAAAGCUUUCAAUACAGUGACCAAACAGGCUGAGAGAGAUCCAGUAAUUUGCCCAAGAUCACACACUUCAUAAGUGAGUUUAUUAUUAAUGCAGCCUUUCACUAUAUUAAAAAUUAUAGUCCGUUUCUUUUUACACCCAAUAUAUUCAGCAUUUUUGAAUAAAUUUGUUAUCAGGUUGUUAGACUGUUCUACUCUAAAUGAUCAAUUAAAGAAAAAUCAGUGUAACAAUCA